Molecule: long non-coding RNA, 2446 nt
Filed under: Nicotiana tabacum (common tobacco)
Lineage: Eukaryota; Viridiplantae; Streptophyta; Magnoliopsida; Solanales; Solanaceae
Description: long non-coding RNA (NTAB_LNC008703)
Source: RNAcentral
GAACUAAGAAAUGAUUCAACUGAUGUAUGAACAGAAUAACAAGAUGAUAACAAUUAGAAAUGACAGUAUAUUGCUUUGUGCUGUGUAUUGCAAUAUGCGUUACAAAUGAUCAGACCCCCUUUAUAUAGUAGGGGAGUCCUACUCUUGAUACAAUUCUAUACAAGGUAAAAAUCUCAUGAUUUGCUAAUUAAUCGACCUCUCCUUGAUAAGUGCUAGGAUUUCCGCCGUGAUCUCCAACCGAUCACGGAUAUUUCGGCCUUCUGUUAUUUGUUUCGGCAAAUUUUCCUCAAAUCUUGUUCAGUCCCGAGCUCAAUAAUGUAACUUCGCACCUCGGUUCGAUAUAACUCAAGAUCAAGCUUUAACCUGUCAUGUUUCAGUCUCGAUUGGUCACACAAGAGACGAACCCGGUCGACUCGAGAUCGAGCUUUAAUACAAUAUACAUACAUAGACCCCAUACAUAGACAAAUGCAAUAUGCAUACACCCCUGACUCAAUUCCAUAUAUAUACACACACCCUGAAACAUCAUUUGAUUGCCCUUCUCCGCCCCAGUAUAUUCCUCAAUCCACGGUAUCGCAGAGAAGUUCACAUAGAAAACUGAAAUAAUCUUAAGUGACGUUAAUAGUUGAGAGCUCCACACUAAGCAAUAUAAGCAAGUAGGUACACUGAAGAAGAGCCUGAAGUGUGCGUAUGUAAAUGAUGCUAAAACACAUCCGCUUUUCUUCGUUUCUCUUUUGUACACAGAUAGUUGUAGAAAAACAUACAAAUUUAAACUGAAAGAAAUUAUAAAAGCAUUAUACUACGUUUGUAAUAUGUUGCUAGUUAGAGCUAACUAAAUACCAAAUAAUUGUCAUAUAUAGAAUGUCGCAUAAAUUAAUGCGAUCUCAGUGGACAAAUGGAAGAGAAAAAAGAAGAAACUCGUCUAAUGAAUAGGGGUUUCUUUGUCUUCCUUUUUGUUUUGAAUGUGUGAGUAGGGAAAACUGAAGGGGGUUGUAAGGUACUGAAGAAAGUGAUAGAAAAGACAGAAAUACAGAGAGAUAAUUGGGCAAGACAUAGGUUGUAACUUUCAUGAUUGUCAUUAUGUGUAUGUUUUCGAUGCUUUAUUGGAAUAUGUACAAAUUAAUUGUUGAGAACAUACAUACGCAUACAUACAACACAAAAUAAAACACACACAACAGAUCCACAAAGUGCUCAGCCAUGAGCUUCCCUUCUUGUAGCACGUGAAUGUAUCAGGCCCCCAAAUGGCCCUUGCAACACUCACAACAAACUCCUCAAGAUAACUAAAGAAUCAAAACCCCAAUUUAGAAUAAAUAUGUUUUUACAAAUAUAUAUAUAUAUACACUUAAAUCUUUCUUCAUGACAUUAUUACUUCCAAAUGUAUGUUACUUACCAUUUUAUAUGUUCAGAUGCAAUUUAACUAUAUAUCUUAAUGGGUACGUAGUUAUCAUUUCAAUUAAGCAACAAGAAGAUUGACAAAAGAAACUAUAUAUACAACACGGAGAAAAUCCAAAGAAAAUACGGAAAAGGAAAACAUAAAGCAAAUUAAGAAACCCUAGACAAUCGACGCAUAAAAUGCAAGCUCAAAUAGUACCUGUUGGAAUUAAGAUGUCAAGUUAAGUACCCUUUCCGAUGCUUCACCUUCAAUAUCUUACCCACAAAAAAACAGCUCUUUCUCAACAAAAAAAGAAAGAUAAACAAAACAGAUAUUAGAAUUAGGUAGUUAGAUUACCAUAUAUAUCCGGGAUAUGCUUGGCUCCUCAUACGCCAUUCACGGGGACCCAACGGUAUUCCGAUGAGCUCUGCAAAUGGCAUACAGGGAGCCAGGCAUAUGCAUAUUAUGUGAAUGUAACCUACAUAUAAGAUAGAAAUUACGUUUAAACUUCUUACAUAUAACUGGUAACUUUUAAAACAGCCCGAAUAAUUAUCUAAGUAAAAGAAAGAAAGCAUGGUUGAACUGAAAAAUUAUCUGCCCGUGAUCAUUGUCAACAAGAAUCAAGAAAAUAUGAAGAAAUAUCCAAAGAAUUUUAGCUAAGAAGUAAGAAAAAGGAAAUGGAGAUUUGAGAUUGAAAGAAGAGGCAAGCUAAGAUGGUUUAUAUUUUAAGAGAAAAAAAGAGAGAUUUGGGUGAUCAAACUGAAGUCCUAAUCAACUGGAUCUUUUAGCCCCACCGAAAAAACAUAUUUACACGACCAUAAGACCAAAAGCUAUAGCUGUUUCUUCUACUCUCUUUCUGUUUUCAUACAUUAAUUCAUUCAAGUAGAAGGAUAGACAAAGGUAGGAGUGAUGAAAACAAGCUGUUUAGCACAAAGCAGCAAAAUAAUCAAAACAGAAAAAGAAGGGCUGUGAAGAAAUCAAGAAAGAAGUGUUCUUGUUGUUCUUAAUUUGUAGGGUUGCCCUUUUUCUUUUCUUCGAAAGAGAAAAAGCAAAGAAGUUUUUCUGGGGUUGUUUUUG